This 4814-nucleotide long non-coding RNA is filed under the name Marmota monax (woodchuck). Lineage: Eukaryota; Metazoa; Chordata; Mammalia; Rodentia; Sciuridae. The record is from RNAcentral.
GUUGGCAGAGUGCACGUCUGCACGCCACACUUAGAAUCAACCCCAGAGACUGGGCGGUGGUUGUUUUUUCUCAUUGCCAACCUCCGGGCAUCGGGACUGCGGGUUCGUCUGGGCCUCCCUCACCCCUGGCUCCCGCCCAGGGCUUGCAUCAGACCCGGACAUGUGCCAGCUGCCUGCUGCCUCCUCUCUAGGUUCUCCAGGUCGUGUGGACUGGGACUCUGGGUGUGUCCCUCAGUCCCUGGAGCCUGGGUUUGCCCUUUCUGAGCACAAGGGAAGGGCCCUGCUGAGACGAAGCUCUGGUGGGUCCUUUUGUAAACGACCAGCCAGCCCCUACUUGAUCUGCGCUGAGAACAUGUCAAGUCUGCACGGCGACAGCUCUGCUGAUCAGAGAGACCACCGUGCUGACGCGCUGACUGUCCUCUCUUGUAGCUUCCUCCUCUGUGAAGACGACCCAGGGGGCCCCGCCCUUCUCUGAGCAGAGUGCCGUGGGGAUCUUGGGAUUCGGGAACUGUCCAGGUUUCCAGGCGAAGGUGGGACCGCGAGGGCAGGUCAUGGUGCCCGGCUGUGUGGGUGGAAAUCUUGGCGCUGUGUCCUCAGGGGUGGGCGCUCCAGCAGCGGCGGGCAGUACAGCUGGUGAAGGGCUUUCUGCUAUUCUUGAUGAAGGGAUUCCCCUGAGCCCACCUGGCACGUCUCUAUUCCAUGCAGGUGUGGAGAACAUCCCCCCACUGCUGCCCCACGGGGACUCGGGGACAUGCCUGGAGGCAGUGCCUGCCUGGCCUGUGGAACUGAGCUGCUGAGGACCCUCCUUGGGGGUGGGGGAUUCUCACAUGGGCUCCGGGUAAAGGAAUGUCCUAGUCCCAAGUGGAGACAACUCCAGGAUCAGAUUUGGGGGGGAGCAUUUUGAACUGUUUGGAAUCCAAAUGAACACAUGUCUAAGAACAUGGCGAGCAUCUUGUAGAACCACCCAGGGAAAGUCGAGGGGUGCAGAGACCCCUGGGAGCAGCUCAGACGACCCCCUCACUUCCCCAGGCCAUUCUCCAGUGGGCCUGGGGUGCUGUGCGAACACCCCCCAUGUGAAAGGGCACUUCCCAGGCAGAAGGCACCUGCGUGGCCCUAUUUGACACCAGGUGUCGGGGAGCAGUGUAACCGCCCUGUGCCCGCCCACUUCUGUCGGCCACCUGCAGGUCCCUCCAGGACAGGGACAGACCAUGCCCCCUGCCAGCUCUCCUUCUUCCUUGUCCCUUCCCUCCCAUCUUCUUUCUUUCCUCACUUCAUCUGCUCAAAAUAUUGAAAAAUCAAAAACCAGAGCUUCUGCAAAGGACACUGUUUCUACCUGAAGACAACAGAGCCCUGUGGAGGGAACAUGCAUGGCACAGCAAGCUGUGGGCAUUUUCAGAGGUUUAAAGACAAGACUGAGGGGACAGCGUGAGGUGCUGGAGCCUGGGCAGGCAUCCUUGCAGACGCUCCGUAUCUGAGGCCGCGGUGGCCUCUGCAGGCCUGGGCUCCACCUAUCUCAUGGGACGGUCACUCUCAGGCUGUCAUGUGUAGGAGCCCUUCCUUCCCAGUCUACUGGCUUUGCUUACCUGUUUGGCUGGGGUUGGCAGGAGUGAUUCCAUUUUUAUUAUGAAAACUUUGACAUUUUUCACACUGUUUGUUUGUUUGUUUGUUUUGGUACCAGGGAUCGAGCUCAGGGGCACUUAAACCAGUGAGCCACAUCCCCUGUCCUUUCUAAGUUUUUACUUUGAGACCGUGUCUAAGUUGCUAUGGGCCUCACUAAGUGGCUGAGACUGACCCUGAACUUGUGAUCCUCCUGCCUCAGUCUCCGGAUCCUCUGGGAUUUCAGAUGUGGGCCACGGCACCUAGUUCUUUCUCACUUUCUUUCUAAUUCCCGAAUACAGUACCUGGAAUAUUAAGUGUUUAAAAUACAAAAUAUAUGUGGCUGUGUAUAACUACCAGGGCUGAUUAAAAGCAGUAUCUAUAUAGAAAAGGUAAGAAGAAUCCAGUUUUCCACCACCCAAAGGUGGCCACUGGGCAGUUUUUGAUUGUGGUUUAUCUGAGCACUUGAAGCAAUGUGGGAGUGGUUUUUAUUUGAACUUCUAAAUGUGUUUUUUUAUGAGCUUACAGAGUGACCAAUAGAGCUGGAUGGAUACCUUCCCUGUGGCCAGGGAGCUGGACAGGGACCUGCCCUGUGGCUAGGGAGCUGGAUGGACAGGGGAGCUGGAUGGGGACCUGUGCUAUGGCCAGGGGAGCUGCCCGCCCAAGUGGAGCACUCGGUGUCCGUGGAGAGACAUGCAGCUGCCAGGAAAAUGGCACAAAGUACAUCAGGGAGACGCAUUCCAGGGGCUGUGCCCAGUGGGACCAGGGAUUCAUUUCCUGCAGAUGAGGUCAAAUUAUUAUCUAGAAGGUGUUUUACCAAGUGGUUAAACAAAAACAAAGUGAGGAUUUUUAAAAAACUAAUAUUUGUUAAAGUCUGUUCCAUGUGAAUAUGUUAAGAAAAUAAUUCUUAGACAAAGUAGCAAGGCCAAGACUGCAGCUGCCAGCCCCUGCCCGAAUCUUUGGACAGGAUGACUCUCUCUGUGUCCUGACUUGGGGUCAGCAGACCCAGCAUAUCCAUGGCCAUGGGGAAGGUUCAUUUGACACUGGGCUCUGACACCCGCUCCCCCUGCUCCCGGGCCAUCUGGGCUCUCCUCCCUAGGUGGCCUCUGCUCUGGGCUCCUCUGGCUAAGUGGCCCCCUCCCCUCACGUGUGAACACCACAUGCUCUAACUCUUAAGGAUUGGUCUGUUUCCUUUUUCAAUUCCAAGUUGAAGGGGAACAUUCUGUCUCCUUUAUUGGCUCUAUAGUUGGAAAACAUAGACCUCACUCUUGUAAUUUUGAAUCUGCUCAUCUGUGACAGUGGGGAGAGCCGCCUAUUGGAUUUCUGACAGGUUGGAUCCUGAGGUAGACAUGCACUGAGAGGCGGGGACCUCCACCCUCCACCCAAGGCUCUAGGGGGUACAGUGGGCCUGGGGAUCCCCCCGCCUGGCUGUAACUGCCCCUCCUCCAUGACUCCCAGGACAGGAGCCUGGGCUAUUGCACUCCAUUAGCAGGGGCAGCUCUGUUUCCCAGCAGGGGGCUUGGAAGGCCUACUUCCACGUUUCUGUGUCCCCUGGGCAGAGGGAGUCCUGCAGAACGUGACAGGGUGAUGUUUGCUCUUAUCUUCAGUUGGAGCCAAGACUCAGGAACUCUGGCAUUAUGGCUGUGGUCACAGAAAAAUCGUCCUCCCCUGGCCUCCUGGCUCUGUCCUCUCCCCAAGGACCAAGCGCCCCACCCAUCUGAGCCUUUGUUUGUGCAUCUAGAGCCCUGAAGCGUGGGCAGGAAGAGAACUGAAAGCACCUGGUCCAGUAGCCUCUGUAUAUGGAACUGGGAGAAGUGGCCCAGGACAGAGGCAGGGACGCAAAGCCCUCCUAGGCCGGUGUCCACCUGCAGUGGAUCACCAGCUCCGCAGAAGCCGCACAGCCAUUGUUCACGUUCUAUAGCUAAGCGGAAGUCGGAGGGUCGAAGACCUGCCCAGGGUCUGCGGGCAGUCAUUUGUAGGCCGGGGACUCAGACACGCUAGCCUGGGGCAGGCGAUGCAGAGAGCCUUUCUCCAGAGGAGAUGGACAGGUGGACAGACAGGCAGCUCUAAGGCCCUCAAGACCCAGGUGUCUGGAGUUAGGAACCACCUCUGCUUUCCUUCUCAGCCCAUGGGCUCCCGGUGGGGAAAGGCCUUCUCUCCCAGUGCAUCCCGACUCAGCGCAGCGCGGUAUGACUUGUAAUCCUCAUCUUCCCACAGGCUUGGCUCCUGCUGGAUGUGACCCCAGCUCCCCCAAACCUGCUGACAUCCACUUACUCCUGCCCUUUAGAGCAUCACACCUGGACUGAUCUGUUAGCAGACUGUGGUUACCGGAGACAGUGGUGCCAGAGACCCCUCACCUGCCUGCCUCGCCUGGGGUCAUGACCCUCGCCUUGCUUACCCUCUGGUCAUUCUGGUUACUCCUACAUCAGAACCAUUCCCCACCCCAGGCUGUGACUUCAUCCCCAGAGCCACUGCCUGGCCCUUGUCAGAGGCUACUGCCGCUUCCCGGGUGGGGAAUGGGCCAUCGGUCAGCCUUCUGUGGGGACAGUAGCCCAGCAGCAUGGACACCUGAGGGACCGGCCCGGCCAAAGGGGAUUGUUCUUCCUUCUCUCAUUCUGGCCUUGAAAAGUAGUCCCCCCCCCUGCUUUUUGGAGGGUAGUGGCAUCUGAGACAUCCAAGGCAGCAUCGACAGUGUUGGGAUCAAGUGCAACCCAGGUCUGGAAUGGUGCUCCUGGGUGCAUUAGUCCCUGCCCUUCUGGGCCUCUCCUCACCCUUACCCUGUGACCCCCAGCUCCUCUUUAGAUAGCUUCAAGGCCUCUUCUCACCCUCCAAACCAGCUGUCCUCAAGCUACGGUCCUGGCCUCAUCUGGCCACCACCCACUUUUGUAGGUAGUUUUAUUGGAACAUAGCCACAUCCCACCACUUGCACACUGUUGAUGGCUGCUUCCUGCCCCAGAGAGAGCUGAGAGGUGGCAACAGGACGCACAGCCCUCCAAGUCCAAAAUAUUUACUCCUUGGCCCUUUAUGGAAAAAGGUUGCUGCAGACCUCUGCUCCUCACCAUAAAAUUUGGAAACUCCCAAAUUUGCCUUCUUUGCUUGUAUUCGUUUGUGUUUGUACCCUCUUUGGGGGCUCUUUCCCCACAGCUUCAGCUUUUUACUAUGAGUUGCUAUUAAGUCUAAACUCUGGCCUUUCCCUCGAAGUCUGGCUCUACCUUUAC